CUAAAAUUAAUAAGUAGAUUUUCAUCCAAAUUUUUGAAAAAAAUGGGGCGGGUGGGAGGAUUUUAUUUUUUAAAUUUUAUUUCAUAUGAAACCUUUUUGUCAUGUGUUAUUUAUAUAUGCAAGUGUUAUAAUAAGCUUAUAUCAUGUAAAUACAUCCAUAAGGUAUCGUUUAUCAGACAAUAACAAUCAAAACCAAGGAGUAACCAAAGACUCAUAAAACCAAAAG
Molecule: long non-coding RNA, 226 nt
Filed under: Mytilus galloprovincialis (Mediterranean mussel)
Lineage: Eukaryota; Metazoa; Mollusca; Bivalvia; Mytilida; Mytilidae
Source: RNAcentral